Molecule: ribosomal RNA, 286 nt
Filed under: Vibrio parahaemolyticus
Lineage: Bacteria; Pseudomonadati; Pseudomonadota; Gammaproteobacteria; Vibrionales; Vibrionaceae
Description: partial 23S ribosomal RNA
Rfam family: Bacterial large subunit ribosomal RNA
Source: RNAcentral
CAGAUUGUAAGGAAUCGUACCCCAAACCGACACAGGUGGUCGGGUAGAGAAUACCAAGGCGCUUGAGAGAACUCGGGUGAAGGAACUAGGCAAAAUGGUACCGUAACUUCGGGAGAAGGUACGCUCUUGAUGGUGAAGUCCCUUGCGGAUGGAGCUGACGAGAGUCGCAGAUACCAGGUGGCUGCAACUGUUUAUUAAAAACACAGCACUGUGCAAAAUCGUAAGAUGACGUAUACGGUGUGACGCCUGCCCGGUGCCGGAAGGUUAAUUGAUGGGGUUAGACUUC